CCCUUCUGAUUCCUUUGUUCCCUGCCCAUCCUAGCCUCCAUGUGCUACAGCCUGUCACUGAAGUCAAAAUCACACUUUAUCCUGGAUUCUCCCCAAAAGGAAGCCUGUGAUGAAGCUACCUUCAUUGGCAGAUGCCUCUCUAGAAAGUAGCUCCGGGGAGCCUGAGUUGGUGAGCAAGGAGAGAGCAGGAGCAGAAAUGAUUCACUCACGGAGUUGCCAUUGCUAUGACAACAGGUACCCAGCCCUCUGGGUCUCAUGGAAUGUGUGGCGGCAGAUCUGGGGGAGGCAUUUUCUCAUCAUGUGUUCCCACCACCCCAGAACUGUGACUGCGGUGUUACCCCCGUGCCCUUUUGAGCUGUGAGUGGGGCACAUGUCUUUGGGAGGACAGCAUGGAAACCAGACUUUGAAUACCAAUGAGAGGAUUCUGUUCUCCCUUGCCUGAGCCCUAUCAUCUCCACCCUUGGAGCAUGUGUUUCCUGUGGCCAUGUCUGAGGUGCCAGCAGUUGUCAGACACGGAGCUAUCUCUGCAGCCCCAGAACCUCUUCCAGGGUUGAGCAAAUCCAGGACAGGAUCAGCCUGAGGCAGAGUCUUCACAGCUUUCCGGAGGGUUAAAGGAACAACCUGGCCUGGUGCCUAGCAGAUAGCCAACGGCAGCAUCGAGGACGCAAAGGCUCAUCAUCCUUCUGAGCCCUGGCAUGGGGCACUGUGUAGGGCUUUACAAAUGACGGUCACGGCCCAAGAACUUGAGAUCUGGGACCUACCUGCAUCUGGAAAGAGCCAGGGCUCCAGCUCAGACCAUCUGACUACACAGUGCCCACCCCAGCACUGCCCAAUGCCCAGGCCACUCUACCUGUGUCUGUGACCUUUCCCCCUGGCUAGCAUCCCUUCACCCAGGAGCACUUUCUGUUCUUGUGUGAGGCCUGGAUCUUACCUCCAGCCCUGCCAUCACCUUGACUCCUGUGUUGGAUGCUGAAGUUGCAAAAACAUGCUCUCCGCUGCCUGUUCUUGUCCGCCGCACCUCAGCUGCCAGGUUAAUCUCCCGAAAACACUGUCAGGAGUGACGCCUUGAUCACCUCACUUGUCAAAUGCGGGGUUCCAGCUCGGUAUGAUCAGCGUCUUUCAAGCUCAAAUAAAUCCUUUGGAAUCCUGAGGAUCAUUACUCCCCAAAAUGUGUGUGGCUCAGGGAGACUGCUGGUGGAGCUGGUGCCAGCCUGGCCUGCUGGGGCUUGGGGGUGCCCAACCAAGGAGCGAGGUCAGUGUGGGAGGGUCAGUGUGGGGAAGGGUCAGUGGAGGAGUCUUCCUUUGUGACAGGGUAGAGCCCAGGGGAGAGGGCUGCAUGAGGGUCCUCUACUAUACCAAACGGCCACAUCGGUGACCUGCUCUCUUGCCCUUUGGAGCCUGUGUGUGAGUCUGAAAUUCCGGUGUGAACUGAACCCUGCUGGGGGACAGGGGAACUCUUCUCUGCCUUUUUGAGCGGUAUGAACAGCAGCCCUGGGUACUUCUCAGCUUACAGAAGCACUGUUCCAUCUCUACCUCCAUCAUCACACAAAUGGGUGCUCGAUAUCUGUGUCCAGAUUCUCUCUUCCUCCGAGGACACCAGUGACACCGGACAGAGCCCCCUCCCUCAGUGGACUUUCAGCUUAACUUGUUUAUAUGGGCAAAGAUCCUGUCCCUAUCAAGGUCACAUUUCAAGGUUUCAAGAUGGACAUGAGUUUGGGGACAAGGGGACUAUUCAAUCCAGUGCUGGGGCAAGACGAGAUAAGAAAUGUCAAAUGUGAUGUGCAGAGACAGGCUAGAUGUCUCCAGGAAGUAGAGGGCAGGCCUGCAGGGGGUGCUGGUGCCAGUGAUGAGGGCAAGGGCAGGAACAGCCAUGCCGGACACCCUAGAGUUUGUGGACAGAGCUUGAUGAGGUCAGCCUUGCCAGGACAGCCCCACAGACGCCACAGAGCCCUGCAUCCCCAGCCCUGCCUGGGACUGAGCAGCUGCCAGAUGCCUGGCCACCAGCUCUGUGAGAGACACAUGCGCAGACUGGUCCUCGAGGACAAGCCCCAUAAUUACCCUCUGCUGCCAGCAAACAGCAUCCACGUCAGUGAUAAGCCAAGCGGGGCGGGAGGUGCGCCAGCCCACAGACACCUCAGAGGUGGGCCUGGUCCUGCUGACAUCAGCGGCUCUGCUGCCUGAGACAGGAGCAUUCAUGCACCUCCAGGAAGGAGAGGCCCUUCCCUGGAGGAAAACUGAGCUAGCCCAUUGCAGUCUGCCAGGCAGUGCCUGAGCCUGCCAGAAACUGCCGUCUUCUGGGUGAAAUUUUGCCGAGAACCUUUCUGGGCAAAUGACACAUUGCUGAUGUGACUUUCCAGGUCCAGGGAUCUAACUUGACAGCCAUGGAAGCGUGUGAAGGUCACUUCCCAUCCUGCCUCAUUCUCUAAGUCCAUCUUUGUAGCCACCUGCAGAGGCAAGCUGGAGCCACCCUGGUCUGUCCACUUCUGUGAGGGACCAGAAGUCACACAUCAAGCCUGAUUGAGGAGCAAGUGAUUGAGUGACCACUGGCACUCAAACCCACGCCUGUGCCUCAUGCUGUAGGACCACAGGACCCGGAAAGAGAUGGUGUAAGGCUCUGAUGGGCCAGAUUCUGGCUUAAUCAUCUGAACUGUAGCCAUCGAAGCCCCAGACCCACAGUGUCCAGGAAGGAGGCCACAAGCCACACACGGUUUCUGAGCUAUUGAAAGUGCUGACUGCUAAAAUCCUUAAGGGAUUGGCAAGACUUAGAAGGGCCGUGACAGUAGGGAGGAAGGCACCUCAAUGUUUACAUUGAGCGCAUGUUGAAGUAGCAAUAUUUGGAUACACGAGAAUAAACAAGUAUAGUAUUAA
Peromyscus californicus insignis is the source of this 2868-nucleotide long non-coding RNA. RefSeq lists it as uncharacterized. Lineage: Eukaryota; Metazoa; Chordata; Mammalia; Rodentia; Cricetidae. The transcript is spliced from 3 exons. The record is from RefSeq and is a predicted model, not a curated record.